UACGUAGGCAGCGAGCGUUGUUCGGAGUUACUGGGCGUAAAGGGUGUGUAGGCGGUUGUUUAAGUUUGGUGUGAAAUCCCCCGGCUCAACUGGGAGGGUGCGCCGAAUACUGAAUGACUUGGAGUGCGGGAGAGGUGAGUGGAAUUCCUGGUGUAGCGGUGAAAUGCGUAGAUAUCAGGAGGAACGCCGGUGGUGUAGACGGCUCACUGGACCGUAACUGACGCUGAGACACGAAAGCGUGGGUAGCAAACAGG
RNAcentral lists this ribosomal RNA (254 nucleotides) under uncultured bacterium. RNAcentral's name for it is "partial 16S ribosomal RNA". It matches the Rfam family "Bacterial small subunit ribosomal RNA", at positions 524 to 776 of the family's 1533-position model. The record is from RNAcentral.